GUACCUGACUAAGAAGCCCCGGCUAACUACGUGCCAGCAGCCGCGGUAAUACGUAGGGGGCAAGCGUUAUCCGGAUUUACUGGGUGUAAAGGGAGCGUAGACGGCUGUGCAAGUCUGAAGUGAAAGGCAUGGGCUCAACCUGUGGACUGCUUUGGAAACUGUGCAGCUAGAGUGUCGGAGAGGUAAGUGGAAUUCCUAGUGUAGCGGUGAAAUGCGUAGAUAUUAGGAGGAACACCAGUGGCGAAGGCGGCUUACUGGACGAUGACUGACGUUGAGGCUCGAAAGCGUGGGGAGCAAACAGGAUUAGAUACCCUGGUAGUCCACGCCGUAAACGAUGACUGUUAGGUGUCGGGUAGCAAAGCUAUUCGGUGCCGCAGCUAACGCAAUAAGCAGUCCACCUGGGGA
Molecule: ribosomal RNA, 405 nt
Filed under: uncultured bacterium
Lineage: Bacteria
Description: bacterial SSU rRNA
Rfam family: Bacterial small subunit ribosomal RNA
Source: RNAcentral